Molecule: RNA transcript, 1648 nt
Organism: Pseudopipra pipra
Lineage: Eukaryota; Metazoa; Chordata; Aves; Passeriformes; Pipridae
Gene: BCKDHB
Gene name: branched chain keto acid dehydrogenase E1 subunit beta
Exons: 12
Source: RefSeq, a predicted model, not a curated record
CGGUGGCGGCGGCCCCGGAGAGCGGCGCUGGGAUGGCGGCGGCGGGGUGGGCGCUGCGCGGGGCGCUCCCCGCGAGGCUCUGGGGCCGCCUGUCCGCGCUGCCGGGCGCGCCCCGCCGGGCCGCUGCUCACUUCGCGUUCCAGCCGGACCCGGCACCCAGCGAGUACGGGCAAACUCAGAAGAUGAACCUCUUCCAAUCUAUAACAAGUGCCUUGGACAAUGCUUUAGCCAAAGAUCCAACUGCAGUGGUGUUUGGUGAAGAUGUGGCCUUUGGUGGAGUCUUCAGAUGUACAGUUGGCUUGCGAGACAAAUAUGGUAAAGAUAGAGUUUUCAACACCCCUUUGUGUGAACAAGGAAUCGUUGGCUUUGGUAUUGGAAUUGCUGUUGCAGGUGCUACAGCCAUUGCAGAAAUUCAGUUUGCAGAUUACAUUUUUCCAGCUUUUGAUCAGAUUGUUAAUGAAGCAGCAAAAUAUCGUUACCGCUCUGGAGAUCUAUUUAACUGUGGAAACCUCACCAUCAGAGCACCCUGGGGCUGUGUGGGUCAUGGUGCACUAUAUCACUCUCAAAGUCCAGAAGCCUUUUUUGCUCACUGUCCAGGAAUAAAGGUUGUUAUUCCAAGGAGUCCUUUUCAGGCCAAAGGAUUGCUGCUGUCAUGCAUAGAGGACAAAAAUCCAUGCAUAUUUUUUGAACCUAAAAUACUUUACAGAGCUGCAGUGGAACAAGUUCCUGUGGAGCCCUACAACAUUCCACUGUCUCAAGCUGAGGUGCUGCAGACGGGCAGUGAUGUGACAAUGGUUGCUUGGGGCACACAGGUACAUGUGAUCAAAGAGGUGGCAGCAAUGGCUCAAGAAAAACUUGGUGUGUCCUGUGAAGUUAUUGAUCUGAGGACCAUCUUACCCUGGGAUACAGAGACCAUUUGCAAGUCAGUGGCGAAGACUGGGCGAUUGCUGAUUAGCCAUGAGGCUCCCUUGACAGGAGGAUUUGCAUCUGAAAUCAGUUCCACAGUUCAGGAGGAAUGCUUUUUGAAUUUAGAAGCUCCUAUUGCAAGAGUAUGUGGCUAUGACACUCCCUUCCCUCACAUCUUUGAGCCUUUCUACAUCCCAGACAAAUGGAAAUGCUAUGAUGCUCUUCAAAAGAUGAUUAACUACUGAGCAGUAGUACAGGUUGAACAGACCAAGUGACCUCAGCAGCUCCUCAUACGGCUUCCUCUCAAGGCCCUUCACCAUCUUUGUUGCCCUCCUUUGGAUGCUCUUUCAUAGCAUAAUGUCUUUUUUAUAUUGUGACACCCAAAACUGCACACAAUAUUUAAGAGAUGAGAACAACAGGGAUAUACAGAAGCUGCCUUCAAAACUCUUGACACUUUAUUCAGAUCUUUCGGGUUUGGAAUUUACAUAGCAGACUUUUUUCUUUUAACUUGGCUAUCCUUAAUAUUCAUCUUGGCUACUCUUCAGAAACUUCAAAUUUUCCUUAAUUUUGAAAUCAGUGAUGGGCAGGUGAUUGCUAUAAUAAGUAGUUUCAGAUGUAUUUAAAGAUAUUCCAGAUGUCAUAUGUAUGUUACACAUAGCCAUGCUUCACUAGGUUACAUCUCUAGACUUCACUGUGUAAAUAUUAGAAGCAGAAUUUUAUUCAAUAAAACAUGUUAUGCUCA